GACGAACGCUGGCGGCGUGCCUAAUACAUGCAAGUUGAGCGCUAACGGCUGGUACUUGUACCUACUGAUUGAGCAGCGCACGGGUGAGUAACGGGUGGGGAAUCUGCAUUUGAGCGGGGGACAAGAUUUGGAAACGGAAGCUAAUACCACAUAACAACUUUAAACAACAAAUUUAAGUGUGAAAGAUUCAAUUGCAUCACUCAAAGAUGAGCCAUCGUUGUAUUAGCUAGUUGGUGAGGGAAAGGCUCACCAAGGCGAUGAUACAUAGCCGAACGGAAAGGGGGAUCGGCGCCCCUGGGACUGGGACACGGCCCAAACUCCUACGGGUGGCAGCAGUAGGGAUUCUUCGGAAAUGGACGAAAGUCUGACCGAGAAACGCCGCGUGAGUGAAGAAGGUUUUCGGAUCGUAAAACUCUGUCGGUUGAGAAGAGCGUUGGUGGGGGGGGAAAGCUCAUCUAGUGACGGUACCUAACCAGAAAGGGACGGCUAACUACGUG
This 497-nucleotide ribosomal RNA is filed under the name uncultured bacterium. RNAcentral describes it as "partial 16S ribosomal RNA". It matches the Rfam family "Bacterial small subunit ribosomal RNA", at positions 28 to 507 of the family's 1533-position model. The record is from RNAcentral.